UUUUUUUUUUCCUAGAAAAGCCACUUGUUUUAAUGGAAUGGUCAGCCUGUCAGGGAGAACACAGCACACUUAAUUGGCAGCCAUAGAGCAGAUGGUUCCUGGAGCCCAUUCAUGCACCUGAUACGGCUAAAACAGUUACUGAAAGGCCAACAUGUGGUUUUUAAAUCGCAGGGAACUGAAUAUUAUGAAAAAUCCACUCAUAAUUUGUGAUAUCAUUUAGUAUUUCACAAACUAUUAAUUCCCAGAGUGUUCUGUGAAUAAAGGCAUCGCAGAGAGAAAUUGAAAACAUUCUUUAUGAUAUGUGUUCUGGACACUCAGUUUCUCAAUGAAUUCUCAAUUGGCUCUCAGCUUUAAAAAGUUAGGACUUCCCAAGUUUGUGCUGUUCAACAUCAGUAUUCUGAAGUGUACUGCUCUGUGUUCAGCUAAGUGCUUUCUUACUUAUCAUUCAUUCAUUCAUUCAUUCAUCAAAUACUGUGCAUCUCUGAAAUACAAGAUACCGUGAGGAAGCAAAAACUAUUGACUUAAUCUCUUCCCUUAGGGAGCUUAAUAUUCAGAAUAGGGGUAACACCAGCAUGUAAUUUAUUUGUAAAACACAGAUUGGUGUAGUAAAUGACAAAGAAGUACUCAGUGUCCUGGGGAGGCUAAGAAGGAAGAGAUUCCCUGGGUUUGGGGAUCUUUUGAAAUCUUUGCAGAGGAGAGAGCACUUGCUCUGAGCUCCGAAGGAUGGGGAGGAUUUCACCACUGCAGUUGUAGGAUGGUGACAUGGCGACACCAUAAGCAGUGAUGUCCAGACAGAAUUGUGUGACAAGUAUACUGACAGGCAAUCUAAUCAAAAUGGUAAGGUUGAUGACCACAGUGAUCUAUUGCUGCUCAAAUUACAUUGAACUAUUUGGUUUCCUAUAACACACUGACCCCAGCAUUCCAAUAAUUUUUAAUGGUUAAUGGCUUCAUGCUAUUCCUAUUAGAACUCCUCCAAGUGAAUAAAACAAUGAAUAUAGUAAUGUACAUCAACAUUUAAUAAAUACAAACAGCCUUCUUUAGAAUGUAAUAAAAACCCAUGACCAUUUUUAUUAGAUCUUUGAGAGUCAAAGUUGAGACACAUAAACUUUGCUUUGAUAGAAUGUUCCAUGACAUUAGGACUUCUGUAUUUUAAACUGACAGCCACUAAAUUUUCUAGGCUUUUGUUUCCUAACCUGCAAAGCAGGCACUUAGACCACUUGAUCCAAAUAACUUCUGGCUGUAUGAUUCUCUAAACACACCUUAACUCAAUAGCACAUGGCUAUAUAUUAUCAGGUGCCAUCUAGAUAUUGUCCAAAUGCAACAGGUUCUCAAACAUCAGUGCCUGACUCUAUCAUGAAACCUAAUAAUUUUAUAAAACCAUCAUUUUUCAAGUUAGAAGACAAGAAAGUGCCCAGACACAGAAGUGUCAAAAAGCAGCCAUCUGGUAUUGUGUUGAGAAUACCCCCUAGAACCCUUGAGCUCUGCCUGAAGGGAAAAGAAGCUCGGGGCAGUAGAGGAAGCAGAUGUAGUGGACAGGGAAGUGCACUGACUGGGAAUAGGAAAUGUGUUCUGUUCUCAGCUCUGCCACAGAUUAGCUGUGUGACCCUGGAUAAGUCCUUUCAACAUUCUGGGCGCCAGCUCUCUGGCUAUAAAGAAACUGAUCUGAGUGAUGCCUCAGAUCCACUUUAGCUCUGCACAAAUCUUCGAUUCUGUGUGAGACGUAUGAUUCAACGUCUUGGUGCUAAACCAUAGCAGAAAUGCUCCAUUUCACAAACAAACAAAAAAAAAAAAAAAAAAAAAAAAAGAACAUGUAUCAUUAUUUUACACAAGCAAUUGACAGAAGCCUUUCCUAUCAGCACUUCUGUUCCAGUCCAAGGCCCUGCUUUUAUUGCUGAGUCUUCUGAUUAAAACCAAUCGUUCCCAGUGUAAAUGUUUCUGCUUUUCUCCUGAGCCCUUCCAGGAGGGUUUCUGAACCUCAUGCUCCCGUUCCACUCAGUUAUAUGGGAAACAAGACUCUCUUGGUACUUCCCAUUGCCAAAAAUGUUAUGUAUUCAGCCCAGAGCCCCAAGUUAUUAGCCUGGAAGAUAAGCAGAAAAAUAAUUGAAACUCAGAACAGCUGCAGUCCCUGCUAGGUCCUUCUAUUUCUAGUAAUUAAGUACUAAAGGGAACUUAGCAAAUGUGAGUCUUUUCAUUUGUUUGCAAAGGUCAUGAAACAACUGCAAAAAAUAAAUGAAGGUUAUGACAGGUUAGAGAACACAUGUAUUUAGGAAACAGUUACCGGCAGAAAGGUGAUCUUUGCAUUAAGGUAACUUUUAUCCUUACUUUAUAUGAACUCUGUUCCUGGUUUAAAAAAAAAUUGGAAUCUCAAACAAAAUUCCUGUUUGUCAAGAAAGUUAAGCUUCAUUUUACGUAUAUAUUUUUUCUUAUCUUCAUUCAUUCAAUCACUGACUCACUCAUUUCUUGAAAAAGCACGUGGCUUCAGGAGCACCUGGUUCACUCUGGUUCAGGGCCCCAGGGGAGAGUAUGUUCACCACAUAGCUGCCACAUUCCACACUGAGCAUAAAUGAUAGCCUCCUUCUGCCUGUGAAUUUUCUCAUUAAUGAUCUAAGAUAUUCUAAUGAUUAUUGCCUCUUGUCCCACCCUCAUUCACACACACACACACACACACACACACACACACACACAGGCAAAACAUGCUUUGAAAAGAAUUUUAGAAGUUUUUAUCAUGUUACUUUCUUGUGUAGAAAGUGAAACAAUUUAUAUAUUCUUUCCCCCUUCAUUUAUCAGUAGGGUAAAAUGAUUCCAGGGCACACAGUGAAAUGAAUUCUAAGGUAAAUAAAACUAUGUAAUAUGGUGGAUAAGUAAUAGUUAUAAACCUAAAGAAGAGCCAAAAGAUAAAAAGCCUGUGCAAUCAAUAGAAGAAAAGCUAAAGGUACUCCAGAAAUGCUCUAGGAUGAGCAAAAUCUGGUAGACUCGAGGGCGCAGGCUUUCAGAGGCUUCAUGACUCAGUGGUGGAGGAGGUUGCACUCAAAGCCUUUGGAGUCUGGAGAGUUUAGCUGCAGCGCAUUUUAAAAUCUGGAGGGCACUUGAGGUUGAUUGGUCAGUGCUCUCCAGGGAGAGGAGCUGACUGGGCUGUCCUGCUACAGGGAGUCCUAGCUGCAGUCCUAGGAAGCAGCUAGUAUUACUGUAUUUUUCAUCAACAAAAAAAUAUUUUAGAACUAAAGCUUACACAAUGAAGGAAAUUUCCCAAAGUCUCGAAGCUUUGACUCACUGUCUGAGUCAGUGCUCACAGGCAGAUCCACUCCAAUUCCAGAGCAGAUCUUGGCUACACAGACUCCCAGGGGCAGGUAGUUGUGUGUUCCAAGUACUUUGCUCUUCCCAUGCCCCUGAUUCUCCUGGAAACUUAUUACAUGCGUGGUAAUUCUUAGUUUCCCAUUCACUUCUCAUAUUAAGUACUGUAAAACUUCUCUAAGAACCUCAAAUCUGAUUGAAUCAUUGUUAAAUGCAUGUUAAAAAAAAUAC
This 3522-nucleotide long non-coding RNA is filed under the name Canis lupus familiaris (dog). RNAcentral describes it as "lncRNA (ENSCAFG00845027040.1)". Lineage: Eukaryota; Metazoa; Chordata; Mammalia; Carnivora; Canidae. The record is from RNAcentral.